GGUCUGGUUCAGAUGGAGGUCUCUGCCCCCCCUGAAGAGGACCGGAUGGAGGUCUCUGCCCCCCCUGAAGAGGACCGGGUCUUGGUUCUGGUCCGUGUUUGUCCGUUAGCAUAAGACGAGGCGGUAAACUAGCUUAGCAUCCCGGUAACGGUCUAAACUAAACCCUUAACGGUUCCAUAUCCGCUCCGUCGUUCAAACACAACACA
Molecule: long non-coding RNA, 206 nt
Organism: Labrus mixtus (cuckoo wrasse)
Lineage: Eukaryota; Metazoa; Chordata; Actinopteri; Labriformes; Labridae
Exons: 3
Source: RefSeq, a predicted model, not a curated record